UGCUUGCACCGGGGAUUAGUGGCGAACGGGUGAGUAACACGUGAGUAACCUGCCCUUAACUCUGGGAUAAGCCUGGGAAACUGGGUCUAAUACCGGAUAUGACUCCUCAUCGCAUGGUGGGGGGUGGAAAGCUUUAUUGUGGUUUUGGAUGGACUCGCGGCCUAUCAGCUUGUUGGUGAGGUAAUGGCUCACCAAGGCGACGACGGGUAGCCGGCCUGAGAGGGUGACCGGCCACACUGGGACUGAGACACGGCCCAGACUCCUACGGGAGGCAGCAGUGGGGAAUAUUGCACAAUGGGCGCAAGCCUGAUGCAGCGACGCCGCGUGAGGGAUGACGGCCUUCGGGUUGUAAACCUCUUUCAGUAGGGAAGAAGCGAAAGUGACGGUACCUGCAGAAGAAGCGCCGGCUAACUACGUGCCAGCAGCCGCGGUAAUACGUAGGGCGCAAGCGUUAUCCGGAAUUAUUGGGCGUAAAGAGCUCGUAGGCGGUUUGUCGCGUCUGCCGUGAAAGUCCGGGGCUCAACUCCGGAUCUGCGGUGGGUACGGGCAGACUAGAGUGAUGUAGGGGAGACUGGAAUUCCUGGUGUAGCGGUGAAAUGCGCAGAUAUCAGGAGGAACACCGAUGGCGAAGGCAGGUCUCUGGGCAUUAACUGACGCUGAGGAGCGAAAGCAUGGGGAGCGAACAGGAUUAGAUACCCUGGUAGUCCAUGCCGUAAACGUUGGGCACUAGGUGUGGGGGACAUUCCACG
RNAcentral lists this ribosomal RNA (749 nucleotides) under Micrococcaceae bacterium. RNAcentral's name for it is "bacterial SSU rRNA". It matches the Rfam family "Bacterial small subunit ribosomal RNA", at positions 77 to 845 of the family's 1533-position model. The record is from RNAcentral. Lineage: Bacteria; Bacillati; Actinomycetota; Actinomycetes; Micrococcales; Micrococcaceae.